GACGAACGCUGGCGGCGUGCUUAACACAUGCAAGUCGUACGGAAAGGCCCUGCUUUUGUGGGGUGCUCGAGUGGCGAACGGGUGAGUAACACGUGAGUAACCUGCCCUUGACUUUGGGAUAACUUCAGGAAACUGGGGCUAAUACCGGAUAGGAGCUCCUGCUGCAUGGUGGGGGUUGGAAAGUUUCGGCGGUUGGGGAUGGACUCGCGGCUUAUCAGCUUGUUGGUGGGGUAGUGGCUUACCAAGGCUUUGACGGGUAGCCGGCCUGAGAGGGUGACCGGCCACAUUGGGACUGAGAUACGGCCCAGACUCCUACGGGAGGCAGCAGUGGGGAAUAUUACACAAUGGGCGGAAGCCUGAUGCAGCAACGCCGCGUGCGGGAUGACGGCCUUUGGGUUGUAAACCGCUUUCGCCUGUGACGAAGCGUGAGUGACGGUAAUGGGUAAAGAAGCACCGGCUAACUACGUG
This 468-nucleotide ribosomal RNA is filed under the name uncultured bacterium. RNAcentral describes it as "partial 16S ribosomal RNA". It matches the Rfam family "Bacterial small subunit ribosomal RNA", at positions 28 to 507 of the family's 1533-position model. The record is from RNAcentral.